ACUCACAGCCAGGCUUACCUAAGGAAAAGACCCCUCUGAACUCUCCGACACUCACAUCCUGGGGCCGAAACCAUGAUAUAAACAGCCUCUGGAGCUUGACCGAAGCUCCCUGAACGCACACACAGUCCCUCUUUUAACGUGUAAGUGCACGGUGGCCGGGGCUCGCCAACAAGCACGGUGUAGACGGGGAGCAAGGACUGGCCGGGCUGCGCAGGAGGCCCGCCGGCUGGACCCGGCCGAUAAUGGAGCACGAGCCGCCCACCCUCCCUCAAGAAGGCCAGUGAAGAAGCACAUAGGUCAGGCGCCGAGCCCCGGGAGGCAGAAAUGGGCCCGGAAACCGGGGAGGGACUCGCUGCGGAUGCCCAGGACGCUGGGGCCGGGAGUUUGAGCGCCGGGGGGCCGGGCUGCAGCCGCGAGGGCUGCACUCUCAUCCCGGCCGCCCCUCUCACCUCCUGCGCUGGCGGUCCCGGUUCCUGCCGAGGCGGUCGGACAGGCGUCCCAGGAGCGCGGCCAGCCCUGGGCGGCCAGGCAGGAGGCCCAGCAGUCGCCUCCAGAACACGGGUCCCGCCGCAGCUGCCGCCGCCACCGCCAUGGAGACUCGCCGCUUCCGCUUCCGCUCCCGGCGGGCGCGAACUUUAUUGACAAAGGCGAGCGCGGACACGGCUCAGGCGCGCAGGCGCGGAACCCCUGGCUCGGGGAGGGCGGCGCUGCACCGCCCCCAAGCCUCAGUUUCCCCUCUGGGGGACACAGGCGAGGAACAGUGGUCGCGCCGCAGGAGGGGGUCGGAAGCCGGCCCGUUAAAUCCGUAAGGGCGCCAGGUGGCCUGCAUUCCUGCAGUCACUCGUCACAGGUCGCGGAGGAAAGGAUGCGGCGCAGGGGCUCUAGCACCGUCACGCUUGGCUCCAACUCACCAGCUGUCAAAAAAGCUUUUGUUUGUUUGUUUUGAGACAGAGUCUCGGUCUGUGUCCCAGGCUGGAGUGCAGUGGCGCGAUCUUGGCGCAUUGCAGCCUCGACCUCCCGGCCUCAGGGGAUCCUCUCAAAGUGCUGGGACCACUCCCAAAGUGCUGGGACCACCAAAGUGCGUGUGCCACCAUGCCCGGCUAAUUCUUUACUUUUUUGUCGAGAUGGGGGUCUCACUACGUUGCCCAGGCCGGUCUCGAGCUCCUGGGCUCAAGAGAUCAUCCAGCCUCAGCCUCCCAAAGUGUUGCCAUUACAGACAUGAGCCACCGAGCCUGACCACUGGCUGUCAAGAUUGACUCCUCGGCCGGCGCAGUGGCUCACGCCUGUAAUCCCUGCACUCUGGGAGGCAGAGGCGGGUGGAUCACCUGAAGUCAGGAGUUCGAGACCAGCCUGGCCAACCUGAUGAAACCCCGUCUCUACUAAAAAUGCAAAAAAUUAGCUGGGCGCAGUGGCCCAUGCCUGUAAUCCCAAACUACUCAGGAGGCUGAGGCAGGAUAAUCGCUUGAACCCAGGAGGUGGAGGUUGCAGUGAGCCAAGAUCGAACCACUGUACUCCAGCCUGGGCAACAAGAGCAAAACUCCGUCAAAAAAAAAAAAAAAAAAAAAAAAAAAGGACUUCUCACUGAUAAGUGAGGGAAUUACUGUUUGAGGCUCUAAUUGAUAGGGUGUUCUUUAGACUUGUACAACACCCCUAAGGUGUUAAACUUGAACAAAGUCUGUUCUUGUACAAAGUCUUGUAACCUGGUUAACGCUGACUCACUAAGGUGCACAGAACCACGGAAAAUCCCCACCAGACUGAGAGAGGAAUCAUUUUUCACCCUGUUAGCCCCAGAGGCUGCAGCUCCAUGGCACAGAACAGCCUAAGCAAAUCUGUGUGAGAUGAACAGUCUUCCACCCUCCUGAUAUGCCCAAGUACACAGAUAUCACUGGCCCCUGGCAACACACAGUUCUAUGCCCAAAAAGCUGACGGAGCACAUCCUCAUACACCAAGAACACUUUUUUUUUUUUUU
This 1969-nucleotide long non-coding RNA is filed under the name Homo sapiens (human). RNAcentral describes it as "non-protein coding lnc-SOCS3-3:1". Lineage: Eukaryota; Metazoa; Chordata; Mammalia; Primates; Hominidae. The record is from RNAcentral.